AGCUCCAAUAGCGUAUAUUAAAGUUGUUGCAGUUCAAAAGCUCGUAGUUGGAUUUGUGGUGUGUCCAGUCGGCCUUUGAUCUUUGAGUGAUAGUGUUGUUACUAGUCUGUCAUGUUUGGGUGGAAUUUAUGUGGCAUUAAGUUGUCGUGCAGGGGAUGCCCAUCGUUUACUGUGAAAAAAUUAGAGUGUUCAAAGCAAGCUUAUGCCUUGAAUAUAUUAGCAUGGAAUAAUAGUAUAGGACCUUAGUACUAUUUUGUUGGUUUGCGCACUGAGGUAAUGAUUAUGAGGGACAGUUGGGGGUAUUUGUAUUCCAUUGUCAGAGGUGAAAUUCUUGGAUUUUUGGAAGACAAAUUACUGCGAAAUCAUUAACCAAGGAUGUUUUCA
This 384-nucleotide ribosomal RNA is filed under the name uncultured eukaryote. RNAcentral's name for it is "SSU rRNA". It matches the Rfam family "Eukaryotic small subunit ribosomal RNA", at positions 587 to 972 of the family's 1831-position model. The record is from RNAcentral.